This 450-nucleotide ribosomal RNA is filed under the name uncultured bacterium. Its description in RNAcentral is "partial 16S ribosomal RNA". It matches the Rfam family "Bacterial small subunit ribosomal RNA", at positions 338 to 795 of the family's 1533-position model. The record is from RNAcentral.
CCUACGGGGGGCUGCAGUGGGGAAUUUUGGACAAUGGGGGCAACCCUGAUCCCGCCAUGCCGCGUGCGGGAAGAAGGCCUUCGGGUUGUAAACCGCUUUUGUCAGGGAAGAAAUCUUCCGAGCUAAUACCUUGGGAGGAUGACGGUACCUGAAGAAUAAGCACCGGCUAACUACGUGCCAGCAGCCGCGGUAAUACGUAGGGUGCUAACGUUGCUCGGAGCGACUGGGCGUGAUGGGUGCGGAGGCGGGUGAAAUCCCCGGGCUUAACCUGGGAACUGCACUUGUGACUGUACGGCUGGAGUACGGCAGAGGGGGAUGGAAUUCCGCGUGUAGCAGUGAAAUGCGUAGAUAUGCGGAGGAACACCGAUGGCGAAGGCAGUCCCCUGGGCCUGUACUGACGCUCAUGCACGAAAGCGUGGGGAGCAAACAGGAUUAGAUACCCCGGUAGUC